GGACUAUCAUGUCGGUCGUGCCUCGGUACGUACUGGUAUUGUUGGUUUCUCCCUUCUGACGAAUCAUGAUGUCAUUUAUUUGGUGUGAUGGGGAAUCAGGACUGUUACUUUGAAAAAAUUAGAGUGUUUAAAGCAGGCUCGCGCUUGAAUACAUUAGCAUGGAAUAAUGAAAUAGGACGUUUGAUUCUAUUUUGUUGGUUUUUAGGAUCGAUGUA
This 215-nucleotide ribosomal RNA is filed under the name Campeiostachys nutans. RNAcentral describes it as "Elymus nutans partial small subunit ribosomal RNA". The stretch from base 46 to 215 matches the Rfam family "Eukaryotic small subunit ribosomal RNA", at positions 693 to 864 of the family's 1831-position model. The record is from RNAcentral. Lineage: Eukaryota; Viridiplantae; Streptophyta; Magnoliopsida; Poales; Poaceae.